RNAcentral lists this non-coding RNA (24 nucleotides) under Cricetulus griseus (Chinese hamster). The record is from RNAcentral. Lineage: Eukaryota; Metazoa; Chordata; Mammalia; Rodentia; Cricetidae.
AGCUUUGAACUCUGCGUGCAAGGC